CAGACAAAGGCAUUCUUCCCAUCCAAACUCUUCACUGGUGAAUUUUUCUUGAAUUUGACCAUCUGGGGAAGGGGCGUGGCCACUCCUGACAGGAAGGCUCUGGGGCCCAGGCAGGGAGUAUGAGGUCUCAGAAUGAUGCCCUUGAAAGACCUGUUCCCCUUUCAUCAAUGUACAGACCCAGAAGACCCCCUCCGUCCUGCAGCCCAUGCCAUGAGCAUCAGGCUCCUGUGCUGUGCGGCCUUUUGUCUCCUGUGGCCAGGUCCAGUGAGUGCUGGUGUCACUCAGACCCCAAAAUUCCAAGUCCUGAAGACAGGACAGAGCAUGACACUGCAGUGUGCCCAGGAUAUGAACCAUGAGCGCAUGUACUGGUAUCGACAAGACCCAGGCAUGGGGCUGAGGCUGAUUCAUUACUCAGUUGCUGAGAAUACCACUGACAAAGGAGAAGUCCCCGAUGGCUACAGUGUCUCCAGAUUAAACAAAAAGGAUUUCCUGCUCAGGCUGGAGUCGGCUGCUCCCUCCCAGACAUCUGUGUACUUCUGUGCCAGCAGUGAAGCCACAGUGCUGCAUGGCCGUCUCCUC
Rhinopithecus roxellana (golden snub-nosed monkey) is the source of this 579-nucleotide non-coding RNA. The record is from the annotation of a RefSeq genome assembly. Lineage: Eukaryota; Metazoa; Chordata; Mammalia; Primates; Cercopithecidae.